Molecule: ribosomal RNA, 110 nt
Filed under: uncultured bacterium
Lineage: Bacteria
Description: partial 16S ribosomal RNA
Rfam family: Bacterial small subunit ribosomal RNA
Source: RNAcentral
CCCGGGCCUUGUACACACCGCCCGUCACACCACGAAAGUUGGUAACACCCGAAGCCAGUGGCCCAACCUUUUGGAGGGAGCUGUCGAAGGUGGGAUCAGCGAUUGGGGUG